Molecule: ribosomal RNA, 1478 nt
Filed under: uncultured prokaryote
Description: partial 16S ribosomal RNA
Rfam family: Bacterial small subunit ribosomal RNA
Source: RNAcentral
UAGAGUUUGAUCCUGGCUCAGAUUGAACGCUGGCGGCAUGGCUAAAACAUGCAAGUCGAACGCGAAAAUGGAGCUUGCUCCAUGAGUAGAGUGGCGUAAGGGCGAGUAAUGCGUUCCUAACGUGCCUCAAGGCCAGGGAUAGCCCAGGGAAACCUGGAUUAAUACCUGAUAACCCCGUUGAACCGCAUGAUUUAACGGGCAAAGGCUUGCUACCUUGAGAUCGGGGAACGUGCUAUCAGCUUGUUGGUGAGGUAACGGCUCACCAAGGCUAAGACGGCUAGCGGGUGUGAGAGCACGGCCCGCCGCAUCGGGACUGAGACACUGCCCGGACUCCUACGGGAGGCUGCAGUAACGAAUAUUCCGCAAUGGGCGAAAGCCUGAUGGAGCAAUGCCGCGUGUGGGAUGAAGCAUCUAGGUGUGUAAACCACUGUCAGGAGCUAGGAACACAAUGACCAGCUCCAAAGGAAGGGCCGGCUAACUUCGUGCCAGCAGCCGCGGUAAUACGAAGGGCCCGAGCGUUGCGCGGAAUCACUGGGCUUAAAGCGUACGCAGGCGGAUAUGUAAGUACCUUGUGAAAUCCCACGGCUCAACCGUGGAACUGCUUGGUAAACUACAUAUCUUGAGAUCGGUAGGGGCCAUCGGAACGAUAGGUGGAGCGGUGAAAUGCGUAGAUAUCUAUCGGAACGCCCAAGGCGAAGGCAGAUGGCUGGGCCGAUUCUGACGCUCAUGUACGAAAGCGUGGGGAGCGAACGGGAUUAGAUACCCCGGUAGUCCACGCCCUAAACGAUGUGCACUAGAUCGCAGAGACUCUGACGUCGUUGUGGUUGAAGCAAAAGUAUUAAGUGCACCGCCUGGGGAGUACGGUCGCAAGGCUAAAACUCAAAGGAAUUGACGGGGGCUCACACAAGCGGUGGAGCAUGUGGCUUAAUUCGAGGCAACGCGAAGAACCUUAUCCUGGGUUUGACAUGUAUGAAUUAGCUUUUGGAAACAUAAGUGACGCGGUUUACCGUGGAACAUACACAGGUGCUGCAUGGCUGUCGUCAGCUCGUGCCGUGAGGUGUUAGGUUAAGUCCUUUAACGAGCGAAACCCUUGCCGUUAGUUGCUAACAGAUAAUGCUGAGGACUCUAGCGGGACUGCCGGUGUUAAACCGGAGGAAGGUGGGGAUGACGUCAAGUCCUCAUGGCCUUUAUGCCCAGGGCUGCACACGUGCUACAAUGGCGUACACAAAGCGAAGCAAUACUGCAAAGUGGAGCAAAUCGCAAAAAAUACGCCUCAGUUCGGAUUGUAGUCUGCAACUCGACUACAUGAAGUUGGAAUCGCUAGUAAUCGCGUAUCAGCUACGACGCGGUGAAUACGUUCCUGAGCCUUGUACACACCGCCCGUCAAGUCAUGGAAGCUGGUAGUACCCGAAGCCGCACUAAUUCAAGUGUGUCGACGGUAAGAUUGGUGACUGGGACUAAGUCGUAACAAGGUAGCC